UUUUUUUGUAAGUUUGCAUGUUUCCUGGUACAGCAUACCUCUCAACCUUCGAAGAAAUGCUUUGAAAUGUGAGAAAAUAUUGCUGUCGCACUGCUGCAAGACUUAAUGUGCUACUUUUACGAGUACAGGUUCUCGAGUAUUGUACAUGUUGUUACUGUAACUGUUUCCGCUUCGGUUUUUUUGGCAGUUACAUUUCAUUAAAUGUAUGCUGUACAACUUCUCGUGUUGCUGUACUUUGCUCUUGGUAUUUUCUUUUUCACACCUCUGACAUUUUUCUCUGAACUUCACGUAGGUGGAGAAUGGGUGCUUUGACAGACCACCUUCCAAGCUGGAUCGUCUAGCAAAGGAACUAGGACAACACAGCCAUCUAACCAAACAAUUCCUGCAGCUCUUGUGAAUUCAUAUGGAUAUGGACCUAAACUGCAUCCAGUUGGGGUGGAAAUAUUUUUAACAUAUGAAAGAAACAUCGGCAAGUGCCUCGGAGAUGCGUACUGCAGCGAAAUGUAAGAGGAUAUGGACCUAAACUGCAUCCAGUUGGGGUGGAAAUAUUUUUAACAUAUGAGAGAAAUGUCAGGAA
Long non-coding RNA from Ornithodoros turicata, 577 nucleotides. RefSeq lists it as uncharacterized. The transcript has 3 exons. Lineage: Eukaryota; Metazoa; Arthropoda; Arachnida; Ixodida; Argasidae. The record is from RefSeq and is a predicted model, not a curated record.